AACGAACGCUGGCGGCAGGCUUAACACAUGCAAGUCGAACGCGAAAUCACCUUCGGGUGGUGGAGAGUGGCAGACGGGUGAGUAACGCGUGGGAACCUACCUAAUGGUACGGAAUAACUCAGGGAAACUUGGGCUAAUACCGUAUGUGCCCGAAAGGGGAAAGAUUUAUCGCCAUUAGAUGGGCCCGCGUCGGAUUAGCUAGUUGGUGAGGUAACGGCUCACCAAGGCGACGAUCCGUAGCUGGUCUGAGAGGAUGAUCAGCCACACUGGGACUGAGACACGGCCCAGACUCCUACGGGAGGCAGCAGUGGGGAAUAUUGGACAAUGGGCGCAAGCCUGAUCCAGCCAUGCCGCGUGAGUGAUGAAGGCCCUAGGGUUGUAAAGCUCUUUCGGCGGGGACGAUAAUGACGGUACCCGCAGAAGAAGCCCCGGCUAACUUCGUGCCAGCCGCCGCCGUAACAC
RNAcentral lists this ribosomal RNA (462 nucleotides) under uncultured bacterium. RNAcentral's name for it is "bacterial SSU rRNA". It matches the Rfam family "Bacterial small subunit ribosomal RNA", at positions 29 to 526 of the family's 1533-position model. The record is from RNAcentral.